UAAUACAGAGGGUGCGAGCGUUAAUCGGAAUUACUGGGCGUAAAGAGGGUGCAGGCGGCCUUUCAAGUCGGAUGUGAAAUCUCCUGGCUUAACUAGGAGGGGUCAUUCGAUACUGUUGGGCUAGAGGGCAGCAGAGGGAGGUGGAAUUCCCGGUGUAGUGGUGAAAUGCGUAGAUAUCGGGAGGAACACCAGUGGCGAAGGCGGCCUCCUGGGCUGUACCUGACGCUGAGGCCCAAAAGCGUGGGGAGCAAACAGGAUUAGAUACCCUGGUAGUCCACGCUGUAAACGAUGGACACUAGGUAUGGGGAGUAUCGACCCUCUCUGUGCCGAAGCUAACGCUUUAAGUGUCCCGCCUGGGGACUACGACCGCAAGGUUA
Molecule: ribosomal RNA, 377 nt
Filed under: uncultured Chloroflexota bacterium
Lineage: Bacteria; Bacillati; Chloroflexota
Description: bacterial SSU rRNA
Rfam family: Bacterial small subunit ribosomal RNA
Source: RNAcentral